RNAcentral lists this ribosomal RNA (843 nucleotides) under Triticum aestivum (bread wheat). RNAcentral's name for it is "partial small subunit ribosomal RNA". Lineage: Eukaryota; Viridiplantae; Streptophyta; Magnoliopsida; Poales; Poaceae. The record is from RNAcentral.
UUGUCUUUGUGUGAGCUUCUGCAGGUCCCUUUCAGCAUUGAAGAUCCAGAUUACAAGGGGCUUGAGCUGGAUGUGAUGUCUCCAUGUGAGAAGCACGGCAUGGCAUCUGAGAGGCUUGUUGCCUUUGAAGGAACAGACACAGGCAGGCGGUUUUUAGCAUGUGCACAACCGGCAGGUAGCAAUUGUGGCUUUGUUGAAUGGGUUGAUCACCAGUGGCCCCCAACAAUGCAGUAUGCAUUGUUGAAGCUAUGGGCAAUGGUUGAAGAUGCCAAAACUGCUAGGGUGAAUGACAAUCUUGAAAGUUCUUUCACUAUCCACCAUCUGACAGAAGAGAAGAACAAGCUGGAUGCCAACUAUGACAAGCUAGUCCAAGAUGUGCAUGAGCUGAUGAACUUCCAGGAAGAUAAGGUGGUGGAUUUCAGACAUCUGCAGUCUGCCAUUACAUAUCAGCAGGAGGUAAGAAAAGAACUGAUUGAUGAUAUGAAGGCACAGAUGGCAAGUGAGAUGGCAAAGAAAGAUGAAGAGACCCAGAAACUUACUCUCAAGUAUGAGCUGCUGCUCAACCUGACAAGAGCUCAAGCAACAGUCAUUCAGAACUUGAAGCUGAACAAAAUGAAAGAGAAGCAAGUGCUUACUGAAGCUAGUAUGAAUUUGGAGCUGAAGAAUGCAAAGCUAACAAAGUGUCAGGAGAAGCUCACCCAAGAGAAGCUAGAGUUGAAGCUUGAGGUUGCUGAUCUGCUUAAGGGAAAUGAAAAGCAUAUUGAAGAGAAGUGGCAGUUAGAGUUUCAGAAUGAAAAGUUGAAGGAGAAGUUCAGGGAGAUUCAGGCCAUCUUGGAGAAGUGA